CCCAGUGUGGCGUAAUGGUUUGCAUGUUGGACUACAGCUCUGGAGACCAGGGUUUAAUUCCCAGCUUGGCCA
Molecule: non-coding RNA, 72 nt
Organism: Phrynosoma platyrhinos (Desert horned lizard)
Lineage: Eukaryota; Metazoa; Chordata; Lepidosauria; Squamata; Phrynosomatidae
Source: the annotation of a GenBank genome assembly